Molecule: unclassified non-coding RNA, 299 nt
Filed under: uncultured fungus
Lineage: Eukaryota; Fungi
Description: sequence contains ITS1
Rfam family: 5.8S ribosomal RNA (bases 1-105)
Source: RNAcentral
GAAAUGCGAUACGUAAUGUGAAUUGCAGAUUUCAGUGAAUCAUCGAAUCUUUGAACGCACAUUGCGCCCGCUAGUAUUCUGGCGGGCAUGCCUGUUCGAGCGUCAUUUCAACCAUCAAGCGCCCGCGCUUGUGUUGGAGCCCUGCGGCUGCCGCAGGCUCCCAAACCCAGUGGCGGGCUCGUCGUCGUACCGAGUGCAGUAAACAUCCUCGCUCAGGGAACGCGUCGGGUACCGGCCGUAAAACACCCAACUAUAUCAAGGUUGACCUCGGAUCAGGUAGGAAUACCCGCUGAACUUAA